UAUGUGAUCGUCUCUCGCAUAUCAAUAAGCGGAGGAAAAGAAACUAACAAGGAUUCCCUUAGUAACGGCGAGUGAAGCGGGAAGAGCUCAAAUUUGAAAUCUUCAAGGUUUUACCUUGACGAAUUGUAGUUUAAAGAAGUGUUUUCUGUUGAAGUUUUGGUAAAAGUUCUUCGGAAUAGGACAUCAUAGAGGGUGAGAAUCCCGUAUUUGACCAUUAUUUUCAGCUGUGUGGUACACUUUCAAAGAGUCGGAUUGUUUGGGAAUGCAGUCCAAAAUGGGUGGUAAAUUUCAUCUAAAGCUAAAUAUUGGCGAGAGACCGAUAGCGAACAAGUACCGUGAGGGAAAGAUGAAAAGAACUUUGAAAAGAGAGUUAAACAGUACGUGAAAUUGUCAAAAGGGAAGCGUUUGACACCAGUGUUGUUUUCUCGAAAAUCAAUUAAAAAGAGUUAGAUUUUGUUGUGUAUUGACCUUAACAGCUUGCAUUUCAAUUUUCUUGCUUUUUUUAAUGCACUUUUCGUUUAACAAGUCAACAUCAGUUUCUUUUGUUGUAAAAAGGUCAUUGGAAGGUGGCUUUCUUUUCGGAGAAAGUGUUUAUAGCCUUUGACUCCUGCAAUCGGAGAGACUGAGGUCUGCAGCGUAGAUCCUUCGGGGUUAGAUACAUUUGUGCUAAGUUAUAGCUUUUUAUAGACAACUUGUUGACUAUGAUUAGUCUUGUAGCUUACUCGCUUAUGCUAUUUUACCUACGCUUAGGAUGUUGAAGAUGUAGCACAUCAU
RNAcentral lists this ribosomal RNA (774 nucleotides) under uncultured Neocallimastigales. RNAcentral describes it as "partial large subunit ribosomal RNA". It matches the Rfam family "Eukaryotic large subunit ribosomal RNA", at positions 24 to 620 of the family's 3401-position model. The record is from RNAcentral. Lineage: Eukaryota; Fungi; Neocallimastigomycota; Neocallimastigomycetes; Neocallimastigales.